UACGGGGGGGGCAAGCGUUGUUCGGAAUUACUGGGCGUAAAGGGCUUGUAGGUGGCCAACUAAGUCAGACGUGAAAUCCCUCGGCUUAACCGGGGAACUGCGUCUGAUACUGGAUGGCUUGAGUGUGGGAGAGGGAUGCGGAAUUCCAGGUGUAGCGGUGAAAUGCGUAGAUAUCUGGAGGAACACCGGUGGCGAAGGCGGCAUCCUGGACCACGACUGACACUGAAACGCGAAAGCCAGGGGAGCAAACGGG
Molecule: ribosomal RNA, 253 nt
Filed under: uncultured bacterium
Lineage: Bacteria
Description: partial 16S ribosomal RNA
Rfam family: Bacterial small subunit ribosomal RNA
Source: RNAcentral